CAGACUGUUAAUAAAGACCUGUUAGUGAGAUUGGUGCCUCAGUACGGACAUGUCUUGAGGCAUGCUCAAUCAUCCAGAUAUCUGGACCUGGGGUGUGAGUUACCUAAAAAGGAGGAUUAAGGAUCUGUUGAACUGGCGGAGUGUUGUAGCUGAGAGAAGAGUUAUGGAUCAGAUGGCUUGAAAGUUCUGCUAUCACUGACAACUUGAUGUUCUAAUUGGAAAAAACAAAAACGCACUGAACUUGGAUUCCGAGUCUGCGUUUUGAGUCAGAAAACCUCAAACAUGACAGAUAAGUUUCCUUAGAAGCCAGAGUGUGCAGCAUGCAGAUGACCUGAUGGAUCCAAAAAUGAAUAACUCCAGUGCAUCCUCCAACAAGAAAAGUCACCACAAAAGAAUAAAGUCCCCUG
This is a long non-coding RNA of Oreochromis aureus, 407 nucleotides long. Lineage: Eukaryota; Metazoa; Chordata; Actinopteri; Cichliformes; Cichlidae. The record is from Ensembl.